Molecule: ribosomal RNA, 305 nt
Filed under: uncultured bacterium
Lineage: Bacteria
Description: bacterial SSU rRNA
Rfam family: Bacterial small subunit ribosomal RNA
Source: RNAcentral
CCUACGGGGGGCAGCAGUGGGGAAUAUUGCACAAUGGGGGAAACCCUGAUGCAGCGACGCCGCGUGAGCGAAGAAGUACCUCGGUAUGUAAAGCUCUAUCAGCAGGGAAGAAAGUGACAGUACCUGACUAAGAAGCCCCGGCUAACUACGUGCCAGCAGCCGCGGUAAUACGUAGGGGGCAAGCGUUAUCCGGAUUCACUGGGCGUAAAGGGAGCGCAGGCGGCGCGGCAAGUCUGAUGUGAAAGCCCGGGGCUCAACCCCGGGUCUGCAUUGGAAACUGUCGAGCUAGAGUGUCGGAGGGGUAA